Molecule: long non-coding RNA, 194 nt
Organism: Pristis pectinata (smalltooth sawfish)
Lineage: Eukaryota; Metazoa; Chordata; Chondrichthyes; Rhinopristiformes; Pristidae
Exons: 3
Source: RefSeq, a predicted model, not a curated record
GAAGCCGCUGGUUCCAGCCCCAGCAGAUUAAAGUCAACCUUGGAAUUGGGUUAAACAUUACAAAAUGCAUCAAUAAAGUGGAAGCAUCCUGGUCUAAAUAUUGGGGCUGACUCUCAUUAGAGUAUGAAGCUGCAGGCACCAGCCAUCCUCUCAUACCUGAUCCACAUUGACCAUUGUUCACUGACUAUGCUUUU